RNAcentral lists this ribosomal RNA (497 nucleotides) under uncultured bacterium. RNAcentral describes it as "partial 16S ribosomal RNA". It matches the Rfam family "Bacterial small subunit ribosomal RNA", at positions 28 to 507 of the family's 1533-position model. The record is from RNAcentral.
GAUGAACGCUGGCGGCGUGCCUAAUACAUGCAAGUCGAGCGAACGGACGAGAAGCUUGCUUCUCUGAUGUUAGCGGCGGACGGGUGAGUAACACGUGGAUAACCUACCUAUAAGACUGGGAUAACUUCGGGAAACCGGAGCUAAUACCGGAUAAUAUUUUGAACCGCAUGGUUCAAAAGUGAAAGACGGUCUUGCUGUCACUUAUAGAUGGAUCCGCGCUGCAUUAGCUAGUUGGUAAGGUAACGGCUUACCAAGGCAACGAUGCAUAGCCGACCUGAGAGGGUGAUCGGCCACACUGUAACCGAGACACGGUCCUGACUCCUACGGGGGGCAGCAGUAGGGAAUCUUCCGCAAUGGGCGAAAGCCUGACGGAGCAACGCCGCGUGAGUGAUGAAGGUCUUCGGAUCGUAAAACUCUGUUAUUAGGGAAGAACAUAUGUGUAAGUAACUGUGCACAUCUUGACGGUACCUAAUCAGAAAGCCACGGCUAACUACGUG